This 396-nucleotide ribosomal RNA is filed under the name uncultured bacterium. RNAcentral's name for it is "bacterial SSU rRNA". It matches the Rfam family "Bacterial small subunit ribosomal RNA", at positions 355 to 768 of the family's 1533-position model. The record is from RNAcentral.
UGGGGAAUAUUGGACAAUGGGCGAAAGCCUGAUCCAGCAAUGCCGCGUGAGUGAUGAAGGCCCUAGGGUUGUAAAGCUCUUUUACCCGGGAUGAUAAUGACAGUACCGGGAGAAUAAGCCCCGGCUAACUCCGUGCCAGCAGCCGCGGUAAUACGGAGGGGGCUAGCGUUUUUCGGAAUUACUGGGCGUAAAGCGCACGUAGGCGGCUUUGUAAGUCAGAGGUGAAAGCCCGGAGCUUAACUCCGGAAUUGCCUUUGAGACUGCAUCGCUUGAAUCCGGGAGAGGGGAGUGGAAUUCCGAGUAUAGAGGUGAAAUUCGUAGAUAUUCGGAAGAACACCAGUGGCGAAGGCGGCUCACUGGACCGGUAUUGACGCUGAGGUGCGAAAGCGUGGGGAG